Long non-coding RNA from Oxyura jamaicensis (ruddy duck), 2549 nucleotides. RefSeq lists it as uncharacterized. The record is from RefSeq and is a predicted model, not a curated record. Lineage: Eukaryota; Metazoa; Chordata; Aves; Anseriformes; Anatidae. The transcript is spliced from 2 exons.
GGGCACUCUUCUGGUGAUUUAAGUGCCAGUGAGGUCAAAAGUUUAUCAGGGGCUUGCAGUGUUGUGCUUUAGUGUAUGCCUAUUGAGACAAAACAAGGCAGAGGCUGAAGGAUGAAGCUGAGCUGGCAGGGUUAGGCUGGGAAUGCUUUAAAUGAAGAAGGAGCAGCUUUCUCUGUCCUUUGCUUCUCCUCCAGACUGACAUCCAGCAGCAUGUGGCCACAACUUCCCCUGGAGAAGCUUCCUACAGCCACCUUGCGGCAGGAGCUGCCCUGCUCUCCUUUGAUGUGUCGGUUUGCUCCCCAGAGCUGAGUCCUCCUGGUGCUCUCUGGUCUGGAGAGCUCAAUUCACCACCAGCUUCACGCACCCUGCUUUCCCCCUCAGUCAUAGCGCUCUUGUUCCCACUAAAAUCAAUGGCAUGGCAACUGUGUGAGCAAGGGGAGAAUUUGAUAUUACAAGGAAUAACAAAUCACAGGCAUAUCAAGUGUGCCCUGAUAUCCAAGGGCACUGAGCGGCAAGGACCAAGGAGAUCUCUUCCUCAGUCUUUCUCUCCUUCUGCCUGUCUCUGAGGAUCAGUAUUCUCCUUCCAGAGACCUGUAGGGGUCACAGUUGGAUUGUACAACAGGGUGCGAGCCUGUCCUUGGGAGGGGAAACCAUUCCUGCUGAAGUAUUGACCAGAAAGCCAGCAGGAGGCCAAGUGCCCUCUGCCCACAGGCCACUGCCUCAAACCCCUCUCAGAAGUGGGCUCCAACCCAUCCUCUGCCUCUUUCUGCCACUAAGGCCCAGAUGUCUCCCACGGGAUGUAUUUCUUCAAUGUAGUGAAACCAAACGUGUUCCAGGCUGGAAGGAGCCAGUCUCAAGUCCACGCACAUGAGGGUGUGAGGAACCAAGGUUUUACUGGGACAGUGCUAUAAUGGAGAGGGAAGAGAAGUGAUGCUUUAGAUAAUGUGAUUCAUACCUGUGCAGUGCUAUCAAGGGAAGGGAGAGGGACCUAAUUAGUAACUAGGAACCUGAUUAAAGAGGCUCAAGUGAAGACUUCUGUCUGUGUCCAGGUUUCUCGUUUACGUGAGUAUUGGUGGACCGUCACAAUUGGUGUGAAGGGGCUUUGCUUCCUGCUUGUCUAACCUGAUCUUACCCAAAACCAGGUGGUACAAACCUCAAAAAUAAUAAUAAUAAUAAUAAAAAAAAAUCCGGGUGACAAAAUGUGAAGAACUUCAGGAUAUGGGCAGACCUCCACUGAAGUGAAAUGGAUGUGGCAGCUCUUGAAACCCUGACCUGAUUUCCUUUGGAUCAUUACUUGUCUCUGCAGUUCCCUCAUGGGGCUGUGCAGGUCCAUCUUAGCUUCCAGAUUCAGAGCCUCCCGUAACAGAAGUCACAGGACAUAUGCAAGACCAGGCAGCAGUGUGCUAGAGGUGUGGCCUGUGCCUGGACAGAUUCCUAUUCCCACAUGAGAACAGUUGCCUCAGCAGGGUUUUUCUGCCACGAUUGCACCAGUCUGGUCCUUCCUCCUUCCACUGGGUAGCAGAAAGUCUUCUUCAGGUGAGCCUGACCCAGUCUCCAUCAUAAGGAGCAGCCCAGAAACAGCAUCACCUGUCUUCAUUCUGCGAGGUCCCUGUGGACUCAUAACCACAGGAACUCUCCAGUCACUGUCAGAGAUCCCUUCCCAUGCCUGCACUGCACCACAAAUUAGGAUCUGGCCAUGACGCUCACAAGGAUGGACCUGUUCCACUAUGCGAUAAUUAAAUUGCCUGUAAUUACGUUCUUGACAAGUGAAAAACAGGCAGUAAAUGAUCCUAACAUUCUUCGCUCCCUCCCUCUUCCCAAGACUCCCCCAGCUGCCCCUCCCCUCUAAAUGCUGAAUUAUUUUACAGUUGAUAGUUCCUUAGAUUUGCCGACCUUUAAAAGCUGAACACUACAUGCCUGUUGAAUUUUAAUCAAUUUAUUUUUUUCAACUGGAAAUGUCAGACUUCUGUACGGAAUUACUUGGUGCCGGCUGAUGUGACAAAGACUCAAAGUUCAGCAUCUGAAGCCGCGGAGGAGCAGAGAGUUGCGUGCAUUAGCACAGAUAAUUUGCAGGAUGUGAAAAUGAGAGCAGGAGUGAGGGAGCAUAUAUUUUUCAUUAGCUUUGGUUUAGAGGGUUCGGGGACCUGCAUUUAUUUCAUCCAGUGAACUCUGGCCUCAUUAAAUCCAGACCGUGGCUGGUAAUGACUGGAAGUAAGAAGCUGUGGAGGCCACUAAAGGGCAGGAGGCAAAGAGAGUUCUUUGCUGGAGCAUGGAGAGAACCUGGGUGUAUGCGGUGACGGGGGGGAGCACCAGCCUCUGCUGUGUCUGCUCCACGGUACCGAGCACGACAAGAAGGUGCCAGUUGCCCAACCCACCCACCAGUCUGCACUGGUGCAGCUCAUUAAUGCACGUCACACCGCCUGCUUCACGCUGCUCCAGAAGAGCCCAGCAAAACUUCCACUUGCAGUGUAGCCUUCCCAGCCCAAGUGAGGGGCAGAUUAAACUCAGUCGUGUUGAGCUUGGCUGGCAUUGCCUGGAAGGAUCAGGCA